This 398-nucleotide ribosomal RNA is filed under the name uncultured Pseudomonas sp. RNAcentral describes it as "bacterial SSU rRNA". It matches the Rfam family "Bacterial small subunit ribosomal RNA", at positions 986 to 1382 of the family's 1533-position model. Lineage: Bacteria; Pseudomonadati; Pseudomonadota; Gammaproteobacteria; Pseudomonadales; Pseudomonadaceae. The record is from RNAcentral.
AUGCAGAGAACUUUCCAGAGAUGGAUUGGUGCCUUCGGGAACUCUGACACAGGUGCUGCAUGGCUGUCGUCAGCUCGUGUCGUGAGAUGUUGGGUUAAGUCCGUAACGAGCGCAACCCUUGUCCUUAGUUACCAGCACGUUAUGGUGGGCACUCUAAGGAGACUGCCGGUGGACAAACCGGAGGAAGGUGGGGAGUGACGUCAAGUCAUCAUGGCCCUUACGGCCUGGGCUACACACGUGCUACAAUGGUCGGUACAAAGGGUUGCCAAGCCGCGAGGUGGAGCUAAUCCCAUAAAACCGAUCGUAGUCCGGAUCGCAGUCUGCAACUCGACUGCGUGAAGUCGGAAUCGCUAGUAAUCGUGAAUCAGAAUGUCACGGUGAAUACGUUCCCGGGCCUU